RNAcentral lists this ribosomal RNA (207 nucleotides) under uncultured bacterium. RNAcentral describes it as "partial 16S ribosomal RNA". It matches the Rfam family "Bacterial small subunit ribosomal RNA", at positions 568 to 774 of the family's 1533-position model. The record is from RNAcentral.
CGUGCAGGCGGUUUGGUAAGUUGGAUGUGAAAGCUCCCGGCUCAACUGGGAGAGGACGUUCAAUACUGUCAGACUAGAGAACGGUAGAGGGAGGUGGAAUUCCCGGUGUAGUGGUGAAAUGCGUAGAUAUCGGGAGGAACACCAGUGGCGAAAGCGGCCUCCUGGACCGUACCUGACGCUAAGACGCGAAAGCUAGGGGAGCGAACG